Molecule: ribosomal RNA, 301 nt
Filed under: uncultured bacterium
Lineage: Bacteria
Description: partial 16S ribosomal RNA
Rfam family: Bacterial small subunit ribosomal RNA
Source: RNAcentral
CAGUCGCCGCGGUAAUACAGAGGGUGCGAGCGUUAAUCGGAUUUACUGGGCGUAAAGCGUGCGUAGGCGGCUUCUUAAGUCGGAUGUGAAAUCCCCGAGCUUAACUUGGGAAUUGCAUUCGAUACUGGUUAGCUAGAGUGUGGGAGAGGAUGGUAGAAUUCCAGGUGUAGCGGUGAAAUGCGUAGAGAUCUGGAGGAAUACCGAUGGCGAAGGCAGCCAUCUGGCCUAACACUGACGCUGAGGUACGAAAGCAUGGGGAGCAAACAGGAUUAGAUACCCCAGUAGUCCCUGUCUCUUAUAC